AUUGAACGCUGGCGGAAUGCUUUACACAUGCAAGUCGAACGGUAGAGGGGGCAACCCCUCGAGAGUGGCGAACGGGUGAGUAAUAUAUCGGAACGUGCCCAGUCGUGGGGGAUAACGUAGCGAAAGUUACGCUAAUACCGCAUACGAUCUACGGAUGAAAGCGGGGGAUCGCAAGACCUCGCGCGAUUGGAGCGGCCGAUAUCAGAUUAGGUAGUUGGUGGGGUAAAGGCUCACCAAGCCAACGAUCUGUAGCUGGUCUGAGAGGACGACCAGCCACACUGGAACUGAGACACGGUCCAGACUCCUACGGGAGGCAGCAGUGGGGAAUUUUGGACAAUGGACGCAAGUCUGAUCCAGCCAUUCCGCGUGCAGGAUGAAGGCCCUCGGGUUGUAAACUGCUUUGUACGGAACGAAAAGGUUUCUAUUAAUACUAGGAGCUCAUGACGGUACCGUAAGAAUAAGCACCGGCUAACUACGUG
RNAcentral lists this ribosomal RNA (479 nucleotides) under uncultured bacterium. Its description in RNAcentral is "bacterial SSU rRNA". It matches the Rfam family "Bacterial small subunit ribosomal RNA", at positions 30 to 507 of the family's 1533-position model. The record is from RNAcentral.